UACGUAGGGUGCAAGCGUUGUCCGGAAUUAUUGGGCGUAAAGAGCUCGUAGGCGGUUUGUCGCGUCUGCUGUGAAAACUCGGGGCUUAACUCCGGGCCUGCAGUGGGUACGGGCAGACUAGAGUGCGGUAGGGGAGACUGGAAUUCCUGGUGUAGCGGUGAAAUGCGCAGAUAUCAGGAGGAACACCGGUGGCGAAGGCGGGUCUCUGGGCCGUUCCUGACGCUGAGGCACGAAGGCCAGGGGAGCAAACGGG
This 253-nucleotide ribosomal RNA is filed under the name uncultured bacterium. RNAcentral's name for it is "partial 16S ribosomal RNA". It matches the Rfam family "Bacterial small subunit ribosomal RNA", at positions 524 to 776 of the family's 1533-position model. The record is from RNAcentral.